UUUUAUUUGUUUGUGAAUAUAUCUUUUAUUUAGUCAAUUUCAUGUCACUGUCCAUCGGUGAUUUACGAAUUUUUUUUUUUUUUUAAUAUUAUGGGGAGAGGAGAAGAUCCGAAUUUGAUGAAGAAGAAAGGACAGACUCGUGCAGUCUCGAUUGCCGCGAGGUGAGGUCUGAGGCCUUUUAGGAUAAGUCCAUUUUUAAUACUGUGCAAACAUUAUUCUAAUCCAAUAAUUCCAUUUUUGUUUUAUAUGGAUUAUCUGUGGCACAUAAUUAUAUUUGCAUAUUAGCGUUACGACACUGCUUUUCUAAAAAUAUGUUAAAUGAAAUUUCAGUUUUUAAACAGAAAACAAGGCUAUCUAACUCGUCGGCGAUGAGAUGUGAAUUUUAACUCUUCUAGGCCUCGUUUGUAAUUUUAGAUUUUGAGGCUCUCGCAAUGCACUGCCAAUAUCUGGGCCUUGAUUGCUUGACCAAUUUAGCAAAGAGGACAGUAAUUUUUGUUUCCAUUGUUUUAUCGUCUAAAAAGAAGGGAGAAAUAGGAGGGUUUAGAAAACAAAAUUUAGAUAUCUAGAGAAUGAUUAUAAUACUAUAGUUAAAGAGUAUAUGGGUUAUGGUGAUUUCAUGGCUACUACUAGAGUACCCAUCAUGAAGAAGAGGAAAAAAGAUGUUGAAAAGAGAGAAAAUUUUGGAUUUGGAAAUUAUCGACUAUAGAAAAGCAAAAUGUAAAGGAAUAAAAGCUUCCCUUCCUAUCCGUCCUUUAAACUUCAGGAGAAAAUGUAAUGUGGGGUUAUAGCUUUCAUACAAGGAAAGGCAAUUAAAGUCUUCAAUAGUUAACUUGUGAAGCGGAGAAAGAGGUGGUUGGAAGGAAAAAAAUGCAGCGAUCCGAAGCGUGUUGAACAAAAUUAAAGUACUUCAAUUCAAAGCCACUAAAUUAGAUUUUUUUAUUAAUAUGUUGUCUUUAUCCAUUCACUGUUCGUGCUUUGAUUAACUUGUCGAAUAAGCCAAUAGUUCGUUUUCUGUUAUUAAAAUCUGGUGACGUUUACAAUGGCCUUCUUCUUUUCCAAUGAAAGAUUCAACGUUUCUUAUAUAUUUCCAUUAAAAAAAGUUGGCCACAUAAAUUUUCUGACAGUGGAAUUUUUCUUUUAUGGAAGUUGAAUAUCCAAUUCAUUUCUCUAUUUGAUUUAGAAGUGGGUUUCCUCCGUUCUCUCUCUUUUCUAAAUGUUCUGUUUGUUUUUCUUUUUUUCUUUUUUUUUGUGGGAACUUCUUUUAGCAGGAAUUUCAAAACUGCACAAAGAGAUGCCCUUCUCGACAGUGAAUUUUUCAAAUUUUAAUCUUUAGCCCUGGCGCACGCACUGCUUUUGCUUUAUACUCAUUGCUAACAUGCUCUCCGAAUU
This 1389-nucleotide long non-coding RNA is filed under the name Ricinus communis (castor bean). RNAcentral's name for it is "long non-coding RNA (RCOM_LNC001313)". The record is from RNAcentral. Lineage: Eukaryota; Viridiplantae; Streptophyta; Magnoliopsida; Malpighiales; Euphorbiaceae.